RNAcentral lists this long non-coding RNA (351 nucleotides) under Homo sapiens (human). RNAcentral's name for it is "HSALNT0069892". Lineage: Eukaryota; Metazoa; Chordata; Mammalia; Primates; Hominidae. The record is from RNAcentral.
CGGCACAGCAAGAGCCUAUCUCUAAUAAGAGAACAUAAGAAUUCCUUUUGUUUUUUGCCUACUCUUCUCCUACCACCUCUUUUCUACUACAAUGUUAUGAUAAGAGCAGCUGCCUUGGCAGUUUCUAAUUGCAGAUGUGGAAUCUAUUUCAAAUGAGUAAACUCUCCAAAGAAAAGUGUACUUGUUUUUGGCCACAGGAAUCUUAAGUGACUUAAUUAACAGCUCCCUCUUUGCCUUCUAACACAAUUGGAAGCUGUGUAAGACCUCACCAGAAGCAGACACCAGCACGAUGCUUCCUGUACACCCUGCAGAACUGUAAGCCAAUUAAACCUCUUUUCUUUAUGAAUUACA